UCUCUGUUAUGAAGGAGAUCCUAGCACCGACUGUAACAACUCAGCGUCCGCCCCUACCUCUGGCACCAGGGGGUGUGGCCCCAGUUGGAACAGGGUCUUGCAGAUGUGAGGGAGUUAGAGCGAGGUCCCUAGGCGGGGCCGCCGCCCUGACUGGCGUCCUUCCACCACGGCGAUGACGCAGGCACGCGGGGGCAGGCCCCGUGAGGACGCAGCCAGAGCUGGAGAGAUGUCACUGCAGGCCAGCGCGCCCGCAGCCAAGGGAGCACGGGACAACGCUCUCCCUCGAGGCCCCCGAGGGAAGCCCGCCUCUGGAUCCGCAAUCUGGGACUUGCGGGACGAAGGGCCAGCUGUGCUGUCGCACCAUGCCGAUGACCCAGGGCCACGGGGGCAGGGGUGUGCCUGCUGGACCUGAGGCCGACCACGGACCCUCUGCGGCCGCGCACAGCAAACCCCAAGGCCCCCCGGGCAGGGUCUCGGCGGCUCUGCACCCCGUGGACGAACGUGCUGUCUGUGUCUGCGGAGUCACAGUCUUGGCACCUGCCUGAGCGGAACCAGGAGCCAGGCCCUCCCGGCGGGACACUGCCUGCGGGACAGGAGGCGCCCUGGACCCCACGCGCUGCGCAGCUGGCGGUCAAGGCGCAUGCUCUCAGCACAGGAGACCCGCACAGAGCGGCGGCCCCAGGCGGUGAUGGAGCGCGCCUGGGUCCCCCCAGCGGCCCGGCCU
Molecule: long non-coding RNA, 724 nt
Organism: Suricata suricatta (meerkat)
Lineage: Eukaryota; Metazoa; Chordata; Mammalia; Carnivora; Herpestidae
Exons: 3
Source: RefSeq, a predicted model, not a curated record